This 478-nucleotide ribosomal RNA is filed under the name uncultured bacterium. RNAcentral's name for it is "partial 16S ribosomal RNA". It matches the Rfam family "Bacterial small subunit ribosomal RNA", at positions 28 to 523 of the family's 1533-position model. The record is from RNAcentral.
GACGAACGCUGGCGGCGUGCUUAACACAUGCAAGUCGAACGGUAAGGCCCUUCGGGGUACACGAGUGGCGAACGGGUGAGUAACACGUGGGUGAUCUGCCCUGCACUUCGGGAUAAGCCUGGGAAACUGGGUCUAAUACCGGAUAGGACCACUGCCUGCAUGGGGGGUGGUGGAAAGCUUUUGCGGUGUGGGAUGGGCCCGCGGCCUAUCAGCUUGUUGGUGGGGUGAUGGCCUACCAAGGCGACGACGGGGAGCCGGCCGGAGAGGGUGAGCGGCGACACGGGGACUGAGUUACGGCCCAGAGGCCUACGGGGGGCAGCAGUGGGGAAUAUUGCACAAUGGGCGCAAGCCUGAUGCAGGGGCGCCGGGUGAGGGAUGACGGCCUUCGGGUUGUAAACCUCUUUCAGCACCGACGAAGCGCAAGUGACGGUAGGUGCAGAAGAAGGACCGGCCAACUACGUGCCAGCCGCCGCAGUAA